Molecule: ribosomal RNA, 440 nt
Filed under: uncultured bacterium
Lineage: Bacteria
Description: partial 16S ribosomal RNA
Rfam family: Bacterial small subunit ribosomal RNA
Source: RNAcentral
CCUACGGGAGGCUUCAGUGGGGGAUAUUGCACAAUGGGGGGAACCCUGAUGCAGCGACGCCGCGUGGGUGAAGAAGCUCCUCGGCGUGUAAAGCCCUGUCAGCAGGGAAGAAAAUGACGGUACCUGAAGACGAAGCCCCGGCUAACUACGUGCCAGCAGCCGCGGUAAUACGUAGGGGGCAAGCGUUAUCCGGAUUUACCGGGGGUAAAGGGGGCGCAGACGGCGAUGCAAGCCAGGAGGGAAAGCCCGGGGCCCAACCCCGGGACUGCUCUUGGAACUGCGUGGCUGGAGUGCAGGAGGGGCAGGCGGAAUGCCUGGUGUAGCGGUGAAAUGCGUAGAUAUCAGGAGGAACACCGGUGGCGAAGGCGGCCUGCUGGACUGCAACUGACGUUGAGGCCCGAAAGCGUGGGGAGCAAACAGGAUUAGAUACCCGAGUAGUC